AAAGGGUGACUUUCAGGGCUUAGAGGUGAAUUAAAGGCAUUUGAAUCCCAGUUGAAAGCUGAUGUCACAGCGAAUUUACAGGACAGGAUAUGGGAUGAUGUGCCUGCACUGAAAAGAUUGCAGAAGACACCAAGAGGCAAAUUGAUGUGUGAUCAUUAUAAGCAGUUGGCGAGAGGUUCAAGAGGACAAGAGAAUCACCAAACAGGAAAAGGAACUACUGUAUCAACAGUAGGGCCUGAAGAGGAUCCCACUGAUGGUGAUGCAACAUGGGAGGGGAGUAAAUUAAAUGUUUCUACCCCCUUGCCCUGGCCACCUGUAUUGCCAGGUGGUAACCCAGUCACACAAAGGACCUGUUGCUAGAAGUUGCUGUGUCACUCCCCGUCUUCACUCCACAGACCAGGAUUACCAUGAUAGCCAACAUGCUGAUUCUUCUACAAGUCACCCAUUUCAUCACAAACAAGUGAUCCUGUUUCCUAGGAAUUUAGUACAUCAGGGGAAUAGCAGCUGAACUGAAAUAUGGUUCCAAAUGCAUCAGGGGAGCUCAGG
Long non-coding RNA from Mauremys reevesii (Reeves's turtle), 546 nucleotides. RefSeq lists it as uncharacterized. The transcript has 3 exons. Lineage: Eukaryota; Metazoa; Chordata; Testudines; Geoemydidae. The record is from RefSeq and is a predicted model, not a curated record.